CCCUUAGAUGUUCUGGGCCGCACGCGCGCUACACUGAUGCAUUCAACGAGUCUAAAACCUGCUCUGAUAGGGGUGGGUAAUCUUUUGAAUGUGCAUCGUGAUUGGGAUAGAUGAUUGCAAUUUUUCAUCUUCAACGAGGAAUGCCUAGUAAACGCAAGUCAUCAGCUUGCAUUGAUUACGUCCCUGCCCUUUGUACACACCGCCCGUCGCUCCUACCGAUUGAAUGAUCCGAUGAAUAUCAUGGAUUGAGGAUGCAAGUAGGUUCGCCUAUCUUCAUCUUCGAGAAGUGAAGUAAAUCUUAUCAUUUAGAGGAAGGAGAAGUCGUAGCA
RNAcentral lists this ribosomal RNA (329 nucleotides) under uncultured eukaryote. RNAcentral describes it as "partial 18S ribosomal RNA". It matches the Rfam family "Eukaryotic small subunit ribosomal RNA", at positions 1470 to 1796 of the family's 1831-position model. The record is from RNAcentral.